This 497-nucleotide ribosomal RNA is filed under the name uncultured bacterium. RNAcentral describes it as "partial 16S ribosomal RNA". It matches the Rfam family "Bacterial small subunit ribosomal RNA", at positions 28 to 507 of the family's 1533-position model. The record is from RNAcentral.
GAUGAACGCUGGCGGCGUGCCUAAUACAUGCAAGUCGAGCGAACGGACGAGAAGCUUGCUUCUCUGAUGUUAGCGGCGGACGGGUGAGUAACACGUGGAUAACCUACUUAUAAGACUGGGAUAACUUCGGGAAACCGGAGCUAAUCCCGGAUAAUAUUUUGAACCGCAUGGUUCAAAAGUGAAAGACGGCCUUGCUGUCACUUAUAGAUGGAUCCGCGCUGCAUUAGCUAGUUGGUAAGGUAACGGCCUACCAAGGCAACGAUGCAUAGCCGACCUGAGAGGGUGAUCGGCCACCCGGGAACUGAGACACGGUCCAGACUCCUACGAGAGGCAGCAGUAGGGAAUCUUCCGCAAUGGGCGAAAGUCUUACGGAGCAACGCCGCGUGAGUGAUGAAGGUCUUCGGAUCGUAAAACUCUGUUAUUAGGGAAGAACAUAUGUGUAAGUAACUGUGCACAUCUUGACGGUACCUAAUCAGAAAGCCACGGCUAACUACGUG